RNAcentral lists this ribosomal RNA (547 nucleotides) under Enterobacter cloacae. RNAcentral's name for it is "partial 16S ribosomal RNA". It matches the Rfam family "Bacterial small subunit ribosomal RNA", at positions 1 to 539 of the family's 1533-position model. RNAcentral also lists the same sequence under 1 other name. Lineage: Bacteria; Pseudomonadati; Pseudomonadota; Gammaproteobacteria; Enterobacterales; Enterobacteriaceae. The record is from RNAcentral.
AAAUUGAAGAGUUUGAUCAUGGCUCAGAUUGAACGCUGGCGGCAGGCCUAACACAUGCAAGUCGAACGGUAGCACAGAGAGCUUGCUCUCGGGUGACGAGUGGCGGACGGGUGAGUAAUGUCUGGGAAACUGCCUGAUGGAGGGGGAUAACUACUGGAAACGGUAGCUAAUACCGCAUAACGUCGCAAGACCAAAGAGGGGGACCUUCGGGCCUCUUGCCAUCAGAUGUGCCCAGAUGGGAUUAGCUAGUAGGUGGGGUAACGGCUCACCUAGGCGACGAUCCCUAGCUGGUCUGAGAGGAUGACCAGCCACACUGGAACUGAGACACGGUCCAGACUCCUACGGGAGGCAGCAGUGGGGAAUAUUGCACAAUGGGCGCAAGCCUGAUGCAGCCAUGCCGCGUGUAUGAAGAAGGCCUUCGGGUUGUAAAGUACUUUCAGCGGGGAGGAAGGUGUUGUGGUUAAUAACCACAGCAAUUGACGUUACCCGCAGAAGAAGCACCGGCUAACUCCGUGCCAGCAGCCGCGGUAAUACGGAGGGUGCAAGC